Molecule: long non-coding RNA, 845 nt
Organism: Oncorhynchus nerka (sockeye salmon)
Lineage: Eukaryota; Metazoa; Chordata; Actinopteri; Salmoniformes; Salmonidae
Exons: 3
Source: RefSeq, a predicted model, not a curated record
GUUACUUCAAACACACACGCCCACAGAGCCCACACAAGACACACUGAAACAGGGCAGAAACAUGAGGACUCUCUCCUUUAUUCUGGUGCUCAGUCUAUCCCUUUCCUCAGUCGAUGCACUGAUAUGCUAUUCGUGCCGUUCAACCGCCUCCAAUGCAGAGUGUAAUCAGACAAACGAAACAUGCCUGGCUGCUCAGGAUACGUGUAUGACCACUGAGGAAAGUGCUGGAGAUAAGAAAAGCCUGAUGAAACAGUGUACCAGUUUGGCUGACUGUGAGAGAGUUAAGCGCAAUGCUGGUUCGGAUCCCCCCGGAAAAGGCAACCAGGUGACCUGCUGUAGGUCUGAUCUGUGUAACAGUGGGGCUACUACCAUCCACAUCCACACAGCUCUCCUGCUUCUGCCAAUAGGUGUCCUUUCUCUCCUCAGCAAAUAUUACAGAUAGACCUAAAUGUUCUAAUGUAAUAUUAAGUGAGAGCUAACCGGAACAUGCACAUACUGUAUGUAUGCAGAAUGUAACCAGGAUGUAUUUGAAAUGGGACUAUAAUUGCGCUACAACGUAUUAAUGGAGUUUUUUCACUUGUACUUAUUAGAAAUCAACUGUACUUUAAAUAAAGAUGAAAUAAUGAAGAGACUAAGGUCUUUAAAAAUUAAGUAGGAAGCGUAGCCUGAUGUUUUUGAAUCACAUCCUUCUACUAGGGUUUAUGGAAUGACUUUCCUCUUGGAUUAAAUUAUUAACAUUCAAUGAUUUACCUUUAUCUCUGUUGCAUUGUCAUGACUAAAUAUUAAAUGAUUUAUCUGCAUCUCUGUUGCAUUGUCAUGACUAAAUAUUAAAUGAUUUAUCUGCA